CCUACGGGUGGCAGCAGUGGGGAAUAUUGCACAAUGGGGGAAACCCUGAUGCAGCGACGCCGCGUGAGUGAAGAAGUAUUUCGGUAUGUAAAGCUCUAUCAGCAGGGAAGCAAAUGACGGUACCUGAUUAAGAAGCCCCGGCUAACUACGUACCAGCAGCCGCGGUAAAACGUAGGGGGCAAGCGUUAUACGGAUUUACUGGGUGUAAAGGGAGCGUAGACGGCAGCACAAGUCUGGAGUGAAAUGCCGGGGCUUAACCCCGGAACCGCCUUGGAAACUGUGCAGCUAGAGUGCAGGAGAGGUAAGCGGAAUUCCUAGUGUAGCGGUGAAAUGCGUAGAUAUUACGAGGAACACCAGUUGCGAAGGCGGCUUACCGGCCUGUAACUGACGCUGAGGCUCGAAAGCGUGGGGAGCAAACAGGAUUAGAUACCCCGGUAGUC
This 440-nucleotide ribosomal RNA is filed under the name uncultured bacterium. RNAcentral's name for it is "partial 16S ribosomal RNA". It matches the Rfam family "Bacterial small subunit ribosomal RNA", at positions 338 to 795 of the family's 1533-position model. The record is from RNAcentral.